RNAcentral lists this ribosomal RNA (413 nucleotides) under uncultured bacterium. RNAcentral's name for it is "bacterial SSU rRNA". It matches the Rfam family "Bacterial small subunit ribosomal RNA", at positions 505 to 916 of the family's 1533-position model. The record is from RNAcentral.
GUGUCAGCAGCCGCGGUAAGACGUAGGGGGCGAGCGUUGUCCGGAAUUACUGGGCGUAAAGAGCACGUAGGCGGGUAUUUAAGUCAGGUGUGAAAGACCGCGGCCCAACUGCGGGGUUGCACUUGAAACUGGAUAUCUUGAGGGCAGGAGAGGUCAGUGGAAUUCCUGGUGUAGCGGUGAGAUGCGUAGAUAUCAGGAGGAACACCAGUGGCGAAGGCGACUGACUGGACUGACCCUGACGCUGAGGUGCGAAAGCGUGGGUAGCAAACAGGAUUAGAUACCCUGGUAGUCCACGCCGUAAACGAUGGAUACUAGGUGUGGGAGGGAAAGAACCCUUCCGUGCCGAAGCUAACGCAAUAAGUAUCCCACCUGGGGAGUACGGUCGCAAGGCUGAAACUCAAAGAAAUUGACGG